RNAcentral lists this ribosomal RNA (253 nucleotides) under uncultured bacterium. Its description in RNAcentral is "partial 16S ribosomal RNA". It matches the Rfam family "Bacterial small subunit ribosomal RNA", at positions 524 to 776 of the family's 1533-position model. The record is from RNAcentral.
UACGAAGGGGGCUAGCGUUGCUCGGAAUCACUGGGCGUAAAGGGUGCGUAGGCGGGUUUUUAAGUCGGUGGUGAAAUCCUGGAGCUCAACUCCAGAACUGCCUUCGAUACUGAGAGUCUCGAGUCCGAGAGAGGUGAGUGGAACUGCGAGUGUAGAGGUGAAAUUCGUAGAUAUUCGCAAGAACACCAGUGGCGAAGGCGGCUCACUGGCUCGGUACUGACGCUGAGGCACGAAAGCGUGGGGAGCAAACAGG